Molecule: ribosomal RNA, 904 nt
Filed under: uncultured Gammaproteobacteria bacterium
Lineage: Bacteria; Pseudomonadati; Pseudomonadota; Gammaproteobacteria
Description: bacterial SSU rRNA
Rfam family: Bacterial small subunit ribosomal RNA
Source: RNAcentral
ACGCUGGCGGCAGGCCUAACACAUGCAAGUCGAGCGGAAACGAGUUAUCUGAACCUUCGGGGGACGAUAACGGCGUCGAGCGGCGGACGGGUGAGUAAUGCCUAGGAAAUUGCCCUGAUGUGGGGGAUAACCAUUGGAAACGAUGGCUAAUACCGCAUGAUGCCUACGGGCCAAAGAGGGGGACCUUCGGGCCUCUCGCGUCAGGAUAUGCCUAGGUGGGAUUAGCUAGUUGGUGAGGUAAGGGCUCACCAAGGCGACGAUCCCUAGCUGGUCUGAGAGGAUGAUCAGCCACACUGGAACUGAGACACGGUCCAGACUCCUACGGGAGGCAGCAGUGGGGAAUAUUGCACAAUGGGCGCAAGCCUGAUGCAGCCAUGCCGCGUGUAUGAAGAAGGCCUUCGGGUUGUAAAGUACUUUCAGCAGUGAGGAAGGUGGGUGUGUUAAUAGCACAUUCAUUUGACGUUAGCUGCAGAAGAAGCACCGGCUAACUCCGUGCCAGCAGCCGCGGUAAUACGGAGGGUGCGAGCGUUAAUCGGAAUUACUGGGCGUAAAGCGCAUGCAGGUGGUUUGUUAAGUCAGAUGUGAAAGCCCGGGGCUCAACCUCGGAAUAGCAUUUGAAACUGGCAGACUAGAGUACUGUAGAGGGGGGUAGAAUUUCAGGUGUAGCGGUGAAAUGCGUAGAGAUCUGAAGGAAUACCGGUGGCGAAGGCGGCCCCCUGGACAGAUACUGACACUCAGAUGCGAAAGCGUGGGGAGCAACCAGGAUAGAUACCCUGGUAGUCCACGCCGUAAACGAUGUCUACUUGGAGGUGUGGCCUUGAGCCGUGGCUUUCGGAGCUAACGCGUUAAGUAGACCGCCUGGGGAGUACGGUCGCAGAUUAAACUCAAUGAAUUGACGGGGCCC